Molecule: ribosomal RNA, 494 nt
Filed under: uncultured bacterium
Lineage: Bacteria
Description: partial 16S ribosomal RNA
Rfam family: Bacterial small subunit ribosomal RNA
Source: RNAcentral
GACGAACGCUGGCGGCGUGCCUAAUACAUGCGAGUCGAACGCUGAAGGAGGAGCUUGCUUCUCUGGAUGAGUUGCGAACGGGUGAGUAACGCGUAUGUAACCUGCCUGGUAGCGGGGGAUAACUAUUGGAAACGAUAGCUAAUACCGCAUAAGAGUAGAUGUUGCAUGACAUUUGCUUAAAAGGUGCAAUUGCAUCACUACCAGAUGGACCUGCGUUGUAUUAGCUAGUUGGUGGGGUAACGGCUUACCAAGGCGACGAUACAUAGCCGACCUGAGAGGGUGAUCGGCCACACUGGAACUGAGACACGGCCCAGACUCCUACGGGAGGCAGCAGUAGGGAAUCUUCGGCAAUGGACGGAAGUCUGACCGAGCAACGCCGCGUGAGUGAAGAAGGUCUUCGGAUCGUAAAGCUCUGUUGUAAGAGAAGAACGAGUGUGAGAGUGGAAAGGUCACACUGGGACGGUACCUUACCAGAAAGGAAGGGUAAACUACGG